This 453-nucleotide ribosomal RNA is filed under the name uncultured bacterium. Its description in RNAcentral is "bacterial SSU rRNA". It matches the Rfam family "Bacterial small subunit ribosomal RNA", at positions 28 to 475 of the family's 1533-position model. The record is from RNAcentral.
GACGAACGCUGGCGGCGUGCCUAACACAUGCAAGUCGUACGGGACCGGGGGCAACUCCGGUUCAGUGGCAGACGGGUGCGUAACGCGUGAGGAACUUGUCCGGUGGCGGGGGAUAGCCGGCCCAACGGCCGGGUAAUACCGCAUACGCUCGUUCGGGGGCAUCCCUGGGCGAGGAAAGCAGCCGCAAGGUUGCGCCGACGGAGGGCCUCGCGACCUAUCAGCUUGUUGGCGGGGUAACGGCCCACCAAGGCGACGACGGGUAGCUGGUCUGAGAGGAUGAUCAGCCACAUUGGGACUGAGACACGGCCCAGACUCCUACGGGAGGCAGCAGUGGGGAAUAUUGCGCAAUGGCCGCAAGGCUGACGCAGCGACGCCGCGUGUGGGAUGACGGUCUUCGGAUUGUAAACCCCUGUCGAAGUGGGACGAAUGAAUCGCGCACUAACACUGCGACGG